Molecule: long non-coding RNA, 1361 nt
Organism: Symphalangus syndactylus (siamang)
Lineage: Eukaryota; Metazoa; Chordata; Mammalia; Primates; Hylobatidae
Source: RefSeq, a predicted model, not a curated record
UUGUCCAAGCUUGUCCAAGUCAGUUUCAAGAGGCUCAGCCACCAAACGGCUCAUCAAAGAGGAAGACAAGGUCAUCAGUAAGGCCUCACAAGAGCUACCUGGAAUGGGCAGGAAAGAAAGACGCAGAUAAGAAAAUUAAAACCACAGACUCCUGGGCGGCGAACAAGAGACUUCUGAUCCUAAUUCGAUCUGAAGUUAAGAAGGAAGGGGAUUUCUAUAGCAGUUUCUUUUGCAUAGCAGAGCUCCGACUUUUCCAGCAACAGCAUGUCCCUGGAAGCUACACAAAGUCCUCUUUGAUUGCCUGUGAUCAAAGCCACGAAGGCUCUCCUGCAACAUCUUAGCUUCAGAAAGCCAGCAAAAUCAGAAUGCUGAGAGUAUAUUAAUAAUUCCUAAACACAUUUUUAAGGAAAAUGAAUCACAUACUUGGCUUCCUUGGUUGCCUGUCAAGAAAACAUCUUAACUCUCCACACACUGAAAUAUCUUAGAGGCAAACUGGAUGCUCAAGACAUGAAGCCUGUGACGGAAUCAACGUUGGACUCUCCGCAGAUGGGGCCAGUGUAGCAAAGCCCUCUGGCAUAGAUGGGCUUCAUAUUACUGUUACCUACCAUAAAAUUGUCCGUGUGAAUCCACAGAAAAUUUUACCAACUCCCUUUAGGGCAAGAAAGAGAAAUGGGAACAAAAAAACAGAAAACAAAUCACUCAUUCUGUUCUAGAGUAUAAAAGCAGAUAUUGGCAGGCUAUUGUUAAAAGUUACCUUUAAAAUCAUCCCUUUGCUUUGUUAAAGAAAGCAGUCUUUGAUUUCAUGUACAGGUGUAUGAAACAUUUUCAGGUAAACAGUAUGAAGAUCUAAGGGAAAAGUCUGUGUGCCUCAGAAGAGGUAAUGGUGUGUGCAAUUGGAUUAUUGGAUGCUCUGUGCCCUUGUAUAAUAUAUAGUUAUGUAGAUCAUAUGUACGUUGAGCAAAACCUACCUGGAUCUGAACAUACGGAAAUCUCUAUGAACCAGUAAAAGGUAUUGGGAUCCUUUUUCUUAAGGAGAAAAAUCCUUCAAAGUUAGGUACCCUUUACUAGGCAGGCACACUCAUUACCAAAACUGCAGUAUGCGGACCAGUCUUGGGUGUUUGAAGCUUGGCUUUGUUACGAUGACAACUCUGUGUGUAAAUUACUCUGCACAGUAAAAUAUUCUAACCUCUCCUGCAUAGUAAAAUACCAAUCAGCAAAGAAGACAGAUUACAGCUGGAAUAAAUGCAGUUUGUACACUUGGAUUUUUCCAUACUAAUGAAGUUAAACAGAAAAAUAAAUAAAUACAACAAUAGGAAAGUCCAAAAUAACUCAUGUGUGGCUUUGUUAUGUACUUGGAGAUC